CCCCCUGCGCUCUCGCCAUCGCCCCGCAUUUACUCGCUGGAGGAGGGGGUCACCUCAUUCCUAGGGAGGAGGAAACAGACGUUGAGCGGCGACGUGACUCAGUGUUCAUAAAUAGGACGACGUCCCUGCAUUCCCAAUCUGCACUAUUGGAAGAAAAGCCAAUGUUUGGGCCAAAUUUGAGUCCCUCUUUAGGACGUAUGACAAGGACAUCACCUUUCAGUAUUUUAAGAGCUUCAAACGAGUCAGAAUAAACUUCAGCAACCCCUUCUCCGCAGCAGAUGCCAGGCUCCAGCUGCAUAAGACUGAGUUUCUGGGAAAGGAAAUGAAGUUAUAUUUUGCUCAGACCUUACACAUAGGAAGCUCACACCUGGCUCCGCCAAAUCCAGACAAGCAGUUUCUGAUCUCCCCUCCCGCCUCUCCGCCAGUGGGAUGGAAACAAGUGGAAGAUGCGACCCCAGUCAUAAACUAUGAUCUCUUAUAUGCCAUCUCCAAGCUGGGGCCAGGGGAAAAGUAUGAAUUGCACGCAGCGACUGACACCACUCCCAGCGUGGUGGUCCAUGUAUGUGAGAGUGAUCAAGAGAAGGAGGAAGAAGAGGAAAUGGAAAGAAUGAAGAGACCCAAGCCAAAAAUUAUCCAGACCAGGAGGCCGGAGUACACGCCGAUCCACCUCAGCUGAACUGGCACGCGACGAGGACGCAUUCCAAAUCAUACUCACGGGAGGAAUCUUUUACUGUGGAGGUGGCUGGUCACGACUUCUUCGGAGGUGGCAGCCGAGAUCGGGGUGGCAGAAAUCCCAGUUCAUGUUGCUCAGAAGAGAAUCAAGGCCGUGUCCCCUUGUUCUAAUGCUGCACACCAGUUACUGUUCAUGGCACCCGGGAAUGACUUGGGCCAAUCACUGAGUUUGUGGUGAUCGCACAAGGACAUUUGGGACUGUCUUGAGAAAACAGAUAAUGAUAGUGUUUUGUACUUGUUCUUUUCUGGUAGGUUCUGUCUGUGCCAAGGGCAGGUUGAUCAGUGAGCUCAGGAGAGAGCUUCCUGUUUCUAAGCGGCCUGCAGGGGCCACUCUCUACUGGUAGGAAGAGGUACCACAGGAAGCCGCCUAGUGCAGAGAGGUUGUGAAAACAGCAGCAAUGCAAUGUGGAAAUUGUAGCGUUGCCUUUCUUCCCUCAUGUUCUCAUGUUUGUGCAUGUAUAUUACUGAUUUACAAGACUAACCUUUGUUCGUAUAUAAAGUUAUACCGUUGUUGUUUUACAUCUUUUGGGAAGCCAAGAAAGCGUUUGGAAAACGUAUCACCUUUCCCAGAUUCUCGGAUUCUCGACUCUUUGCAACAGCACUUGCUUGCGGAACUCUUCCUGGAAUGCAUUCACUCAGCAUCCCCAACCGUGCAACGUGUAACUUGUGCUUUUGCAAAAGAAGUUGAUCUGAAAUUCCUCUGUAGAAUUUAGCUUAUACAAUUCAGAGAAUAGCAGUUUCACUGCCAACUUUUAGUGGGUGAGAAAUUUUAGUUUAGGUGUUUGGGAUCGGACCUCAGUUUCUGUUGUUUCUUUUAUGUGGUGGUUUCUAUACAUGAAUCAUAGCCAAAAACUUUUUUGGAAACUGUUGGUUGAGAUAGUUGGUUCUUUUACCCCACGAAGACAUCAAGAUACACUUGUAAAUAAAGCUGAUAGCAUAUAUUCAUACCUGUUGUACACUUGGGUGAAAAGUAUGGCAGUGGGAGACUAAGAUGUAUUAACCUACCUGUGAAUCAUAUGUUGUAGAAAAAGCUGUUCCCAUGUCUAACAGGACUUGAAUUCAAAGCAUGUCAAGUGGAUAGUAGAUCUGUGGCGAUAUGAGAGGGAUGCAGUGCCUUUCCCCAUUCAUUCCUGAUGGAAUUGUUAUACUAGGUUAACAUUUGUAAUUUUUUUCUAGUUGUAAUGUGUAUGUCUGGUAAAUAGGUAUUAUAUUUUGGCCUUACAAUACCAUAACAAUGUUUGUCAUUUUGAAAUACUUAAUGCCAAGUAACAAUGCAUGCUUUGGAAAUUUGGAAGAUGGUUUUAUUCUUUGAGAAGCAAAUAUGUUUGCAUUAAAUGCUUUGAUUGUUCAUAUCAAGAAAUGGAUUGAACGUUCUCAAACCCUGUUUACGGUACUUGGUAAGAGGGAGCCGGUUUGGGAGAGACCAUUGCAUCGCUGUCCAAGUGUUUCUUGUUAAGUGCUUUUAAACUGGAGAGGCUAACCUCAAAAUAUUUUUUUUAACUGCAUUCUAUAAUAAAUGGGCACAGUAUGCUCCUUACAGAAAA
This 2276-nucleotide small RNA is filed under the name Pan troglodytes (chimpanzee). Its description in RNAcentral is "processed transcript". Lineage: Eukaryota; Metazoa; Chordata; Mammalia; Primates; Hominidae. The record is from RNAcentral.